Molecule: transfer RNA, 76 nt
Filed under: Methylomagnum ishizawai
Lineage: Bacteria; Pseudomonadati; Pseudomonadota; Gammaproteobacteria; Methylococcales; Methylococcaceae
Description: tRNA_Thr_TGT
Rfam family: tRNA
About the family: Transfer RNA (tRNA) molecules are approximately 80 nucleotides in length. Their secondary structure includes four short double-helical elements and three loops (D, anti-codon, and T loops).
Source: RNAcentral
GCUGGCGUAGCUCAGUCGGUAGAGCGGCUGAUUUGUAAUCAGCGGGUCGCGAGUUCGAAUCUUGUCGCCAGCUCCA